ACACUGCAUGGGUCUGUGUGAGCUGGCAACCUGCUACCUGUGUCAGUGCUGAGCCUCUGCAAGAGGACAUUGUCAUGAGGCAGAGCAGGCUGAACAAGGCAUAACUGGGGAAAAGCACCAUGAAAAGAGAAGCAACGGUGGGAAGGGCCACGGGGGCAUUUCCUGAGCUACAGAGGAAGUUGGUCUGGAACUAGAAAUGCAUGUUUGUUUUGUAAAUAUUAGAGUUACAGAGUCUGCAAGUUGAUGCCAGCUCCCCUCCAUCACUCCUGCUCACCACUCGCUGGCACAGCCCCAGGAUGAACAAAAGAGGUCAGGUACAGCCUUUGCUCCACAGGGAUCUGUUCGCUGCCACGUGGAACCUGUGCAAGGUGCAGACUGUUGAUAUCUGAGCUCUCCUUGGGGAGAGGUGCUGUGCCUGGAACACCCAGGGAAAAAAACAGAAAUCAUCUCUUCUGAAUUCUUUCUUGUGUAUGUGCUCUGCUGCCUGUUACCUGCCAGAAUGGGACAUGGAUGCUGCCCACUCCCUCUGAGUGUUCUGGGUGCAGACAUCUGGAUGAGCCCUGGCACUUUCACCUCCUUCCACUUGCAGUUCCCCAGCAGAGAUGCAGUAAAAAUGAGCAGUCACAAGAAUCCAAGGAGAUUUGAUUGCCUCUUUGAAGCCAAAAAUUUGAUUUGCUUUUGGAGCCAAAAAAUUCCCAUUCCCAAAUCAAAACCUUUCAGUAAGAAGUAAAAUAAAAAAUAAUUCCCAAAGGUCCUUCUUCGCUCUGUGAACACCAGAAUUACCACAUUGUUCUUCGCAGCCAAGAGUAUGAUGCAAGAAAGCAAAUGGUCACUUAUUUUGUCAUCUUGUCCAUCAAAGAGAGGUCACUGCCUUCCACAACAUUAAGGCAGUAAAUGAGUCUGGAGUUCGCUGUGGGAUCCUGGUGUUGGAUUCUCACAUCACCACAGUUUUGAAAAAUAUCUGUAUUUAAAACCAAAUGAAAACAACAAACAACAAUCAGCCUUUGUGCUUAGACAGAAAUUAAGGAAACGUGUUUUCCACCAGUAGGAGCCCAAGCAUAAAAGCCAGAGGUUCCUAGAAUUAAACUACUUUUUGGAGAGAACACUAUUUGACCCUAGAGCUCUGAUCCUUCCAGUCAGGGCUCUUCACAUGGACCACUGAACACUGCCAGGGGUUCAACUGGUGCUUCCAUGUGGGAUUUCUUGGCCUCCAUGUCCUCAUGCAUCCUUAUGCAGUCUUUGUGUCUAGCUGCAUGUCUCAGUCUUUGCUAUCAAACCAGGAGGGAAACCUGAGCUCAGACUGCAAGAACUGGCUGGAUCCAUCACUGCUGCUGCCAAGCUCUAUUUUCUUUUUUACUUUCCCCCCCCGCCUU
This is a long non-coding RNA of Parus major (Great Tit), 1373 nucleotides long. RefSeq lists it as uncharacterized. Lineage: Eukaryota; Metazoa; Chordata; Aves; Passeriformes; Paridae. The record is from RefSeq and is a predicted model, not a curated record. The transcript is spliced from 3 exons.